RNAcentral lists this ribosomal RNA (463 nucleotides) under uncultured bacterium. RNAcentral's name for it is "partial 16S ribosomal RNA". It matches the Rfam family "Bacterial small subunit ribosomal RNA", at positions 28 to 507 of the family's 1533-position model. The record is from RNAcentral.
GACGAACGCUGGCGGCGUGCUUAACACAUGCAAGUCGAACGGGGAACCUCUUCGUAGGGGAUCAGUGGCGAACGGGUGAGUAACACUUGGGCAACCUGCCCCCGGCUCUGGGAUAACUCCAAGAAAGUGGGGCUAAUACCGGAUGUUCACCGCUUCCCGCAUGGGUGGUGGUGGAAAGGGGUUCCGGCUGGGGAUGGGCCCGCGGCCUAUCAGCUUGUUGGUGGGGUAGUGGCCUACCAAGGCGACGACGGGUAGCCGGCCUGAGAGGGUGACCGGCCACACUGGGACUGAGACACGGCCCAGACUCCUACGGGAGGCAGCAGUGGGGAAUAUUGCGCAAUGGGCGGAAGCCUGACGCAGCGACGCCGCGUGGGGGAUGACGGCCUUCGGGUUGUAAACCUCUUUCAGCAGGGACGAAGCGCAAGUGACGGUACCUGCAGAAGAAGCACCGGCCAACUACGUG